CUACGGGACGCUGCAGUGGGGAAUAUUGGACAAUGGGGGAAACCCUGAUCCAGCAAUGCCGCGUGUGUGAAGAAGGCCUGCGGGUUGUAAAGCACUUUCGGUUGGGAGGACUGCUUCUAGCACUAAUAUUGUUGGAAGUUGACGUUACCUUCAGAAGAAGCACCGGCUAACUACGUGCCAGCAGCCGCGGUAAUACGGAGGGUGCAUGCGUUAAUCCGAAUUACUGGGCGUAAAGCGCGCGUAGGCGGCUAGAUCAGUCGGGUGUGAAAGCCCCGGGCUUAACCUGGGAACUGCAUCCGAUACUGUCUAGCUUGAGUACAGGAGAGGAGAGUGGAAUUCCACAUGUAGCGGUGAAAUGCGUAGAUAUGUGGAGGAACACCAAUGGCGAAGGCAGCUCUCUGGCCUGAUACUGACGCUGAGGUGCGAAAGCGUGGGGAGCAAACAGGAUUAGAUACCCUCGUAGUC
RNAcentral lists this ribosomal RNA (465 nucleotides) under uncultured bacterium. RNAcentral's name for it is "partial 16S ribosomal RNA". It matches the Rfam family "Bacterial small subunit ribosomal RNA", at positions 339 to 795 of the family's 1533-position model. The record is from RNAcentral.